ACGACUCUCGGCAACGGAUAUCUCGGCUCUCGCAUCGAUGAAGAACGUAGCGAAAUGCGAUACUUGGUGUGAAUUGCAGAAUCCCGUGAACCAUCGAGUCUUUGAACGCAAGUUGCGCCCGAGGCCACCCGGCCGAGGGCACGCCUGCCUGGGCGUCACGCACCGUGCU
This 169-nucleotide ribosomal RNA is filed under the name Magnolia liliiflora. RNAcentral describes it as "5.8S ribosomal RNA". It matches the Rfam family "5.8S ribosomal RNA". Rfam says of the family: 5.8S ribosomal RNA (5.8S rRNA) is a component of the large subunit of the eukaryotic ribosome. It is transcribed by RNA polymerase I as part of the 45S precursor that also contains 18S and 28S rRNA. RNAcentral also lists the same sequence under 33 other names. Lineage: Eukaryota; Viridiplantae; Streptophyta; Magnoliopsida; Magnoliales; Magnoliaceae. The record is from RNAcentral.